This 473-nucleotide ribosomal RNA is filed under the name uncultured bacterium. RNAcentral describes it as "bacterial SSU rRNA". It matches the Rfam family "Bacterial small subunit ribosomal RNA", at positions 30 to 507 of the family's 1533-position model. The record is from RNAcentral.
AUUGAACGCUGGCGGCAGGCCUAAUACAUGCAAGUCGAACGGUAACAUAAGAAAAGCUUGCUUUCUUGAUGACGAGUGGCGGACGGGUGAGUAAGAUUUGGGAAACUACCUGAUAGAGGGGGACAACAGUUGGAAACGACUGCUAAUACCGCAUGACACAUAUUGGGGGCAUCCCUGAUAUGUCAAAGAUUUAUCGCUGAAAGAUGGCCUCGCGUCUGAUUAGCUAGUUGGUGAGGUAAACGGGCCCACCAAGGCGACGAUCAGUAGCCGGACUGAGAGGUUGAAACGGCCACAUUGGGACUGAGAUACGGCCCAGACUCCUACGGGAGGCAGCAGUGGGGAAUAUUGGGCAAUGGGCGCAAGCCUGACCCAGCAACGCCGCGUGAAGGAAGAAGGCUUUCGGGUUGUAAACUUCUUUUGUCAGGGACGAGUAGAAGACGGUACCUGACGAAUAAGCCACGGCUAACUACGUG